GGUUCUGUAGCUCAGCGGUUAGAGCGUUCGCCCAUUAAGUGAAUGGUCGUAGGUUCGAAUCCUACCAGUUCCG
RNAcentral lists this transfer RNA (73 nucleotides) under Salmonella phage Arash. It matches the Rfam family "tRNA". From Rfam's summary of the family: Transfer RNA (tRNA) molecules are approximately 80 nucleotides in length. Their secondary structure includes four short double-helical elements and three loops (D, anti-codon, and T loops). Further hydrogen bonds mediate the characteristic L-shaped molecular structure. tRNAs have two regions of fundamental functional importance: the anti-codon, which is responsible for specific mRNA codon recognition, and the 3' end, to which the tRNAs corresponding amino acid is attached (by aminoacyl-tRNA synthetases). tRNAs cope with the degeneracy of the genetic code in two manners: having more than one tRNA (with a specific anti-codon) for a particular amino acid; and 'wobble' base-pairing, i.e. permitting non-standard base-pairing at the 3rd anti-codon position. The record is from Rfam by way of RNAcentral. Lineage: Duplodnaviria; Heunggongvirae; Uroviricota; Caudoviricetes.